This 424-nucleotide long non-coding RNA is filed under the name Physcomitrium patens. RNAcentral's name for it is "long non-coding RNA (PPAT_LNC006408)". The record is from RNAcentral. Lineage: Eukaryota; Viridiplantae; Streptophyta; Bryopsida; Funariales; Funariaceae.
UUUCAUAGUUAAUAGAAAUCUUAAAUAACUUGUAUAAGUUUUAUAAGUAAAAGUAGAAGUAUUAGGGUUAUUUAAUAAGAAAGAUGUAGAAAGAUAUGGGUAUUGAUAUUAUAGUAUUGUGGCCUUAGGCCAUCUGCAUGGAUAGAUAAGGCAAGGAUAAGAGGAUCUUCACUCUCAUUGGCUAUAGGUCAUCACCAAUGAGCUUCAAGGGGCUCUCCGAGAGAAAACCGAAGAGGAGGCCACUUCUUCACGGAGACAUUUGAAGGUUUAGAGGAGAGAUUCAGAAAACUUGUAUUUUCGGCUAUAAUUUUGGUAUAUAAAGUUUUUUUUUGAGUUUUGUAUGAAGUUAAGGUUGUUUGAAGUUAGGGUAUGAAUUGUUUACCGACUGUUACUCUUUUAAGCAUACAGAAAGAUGUAAAAGGUU